GCGUGAGUGAAGAAGGCCUUAGGGUUGUAAAGCUCUUUCGGUGGGGACGAUGAUGACGGUACCCACAGAAGAAGCCCCGGCUAACUCCGUGCCAGCAGCCGCGGUAAUACGGAGGGGGCGAGCGUUGUUCGGAAUUACUGGCGUAAAGCGCACGUAGGCGGCGUGUCGAGUUAGGGGUGAAAGGCCUGGGCUCAACCUGGGAACUGCCUUUAAUACUGACAUGCUUGAGUCCGGGAGGGGGUGGCGGAAUUCCCAGUGUAGAGGUGAAAUUCGU
This 274-nucleotide ribosomal RNA is filed under the name uncultured bacterium. Its description in RNAcentral is "partial 16S ribosomal RNA". It matches the Rfam family "Bacterial small subunit ribosomal RNA", at positions 399 to 691 of the family's 1533-position model. The record is from RNAcentral.